Molecule: ribosomal RNA, 253 nt
Filed under: uncultured bacterium
Lineage: Bacteria
Description: partial 16S ribosomal RNA
Rfam family: Bacterial small subunit ribosomal RNA
Source: RNAcentral
UACGGGGGGAGCAAACGUUGUUCGGAAUCACUGGGCGUAAAGGGUGCGUAGGCGGGCUUUUAAGUCAGCGGUGAAAUCUCCGGGCUCAACCCGGAAAUUGCCGUUGAUACUAUUAGUCUUGAAUUAAGUUGAGGUGGGCGGAAUAAGUCAUGUAGCGGUGAAAUGCUUAGAUAUGACUUAGAACACCGAUUGCGAAGGCAGCUCGCUAAACUUAUAUUGACGCUGAGGCACGAAAGCGUGGGGAUCAAACAGG